GACGAACCGUGCAAACGUUAUUCGGAAUCACUGGGCUUAAAGCGCGUGUAGGCGGGAGGGCACGUCCGUCGUUGAAAUCCCCCGGCUCAACCGGGGAACGGGCGCGGAUACGACCUUCCUGGAGGGGCGUAGGGGGACCUGGAACUUCCGGUGGAGCGGUGAAAUGCGUUGAGAUCGGAAGGAACGCCCGUGGCGAAAGCGAGGUCCUGGACGCCUACUGACGCUGAGACGCGAAAGCCAGGGGAGCGAACGGG
Molecule: ribosomal RNA, 254 nt
Filed under: uncultured bacterium
Lineage: Bacteria
Description: partial 16S ribosomal RNA
Rfam family: Bacterial small subunit ribosomal RNA
Source: RNAcentral